CAUCUGACGCAGGACUCGAACCUGCAACCUCCCGAUCCGUAGUCGGACGCGCUAUCCAAUUGCGCCAGCCAGAC
RNAcentral lists this transfer RNA (74 nucleotides) under Cafeteria roenbergensis. RNAcentral's name for it is "tRNA-Arg". The record is from RNAcentral. Lineage: Eukaryota; Bigyra; Bicosoecida; Cafeteriaceae.